This is a long non-coding RNA of Oncorhynchus keta (chum salmon), 2301 nucleotides long. RefSeq lists it as uncharacterized. The transcript is spliced from 4 exons. The record is from RefSeq and is a predicted model, not a curated record. NCBI's taxonomy places the organism in Eukaryota, Metazoa, Chordata, Actinopteri, Salmoniformes, Salmonidae.
GGGAGAUGGGGAGUAGACUCCAGAGGACCAUGUCUUGGUAGUUUAGUGAGAGCAGCAGCAGAAGUACAGUAGUGACAACCUGGGUCCAGACACGGUCUGUCUUUCUGGCACUUUGAAGAUUUCUUCCUCUAGAUUCCCCCACAGCAGAGUCAGUCACCCAUAAACCUGACGCCUCAUCGUAACUGUAGAAUCCCAAUAAGUAUGUCCUGUUACCAAACUCGAUCAUUCAAGUAUAUCCAGCAGAUUGACGUAGUACCAGUUUGUCUGUGUACCUUCCACCACCCAGACAACAUUCCUGCCAUUUGAGAGCAGCAGAGGAAACUAAAGUUCUAACCAAUAUUGCCACUCCUUUUGGAAGGGAGUACCACCUUGUCCUGUCAGAGGACAGACAUGAGGAAACAUGGGGUGGGCCCUCUCGACGCUAUCUCCCUGUUUGUUUUAAAUUACAUAGCACACUGUAGACUGCAUAGCGGUCAAACUCUAGUUCCCCAGGGGCAGUGUGGAACUCUAGCCAACUAUACGUUUCUUAGAUUCCUUUACUGAACUGUAAACUAUAACUUUCAGAUUAGCUUAAAAAAUAUGUGUUAUUAGUUGUCCAGAAAUCAAACUUUAUGCUAUGGUAAAUUAUGAGAUUGACUGCAGCUUUGUAGUAAAUGGGCUGUCGAAGUUCUGCAUUGAAUGCAUGUCUUGUCAUUCCUGUGUUUAACAUCUUGUUGCAAAUUCCGGAAACUAUAGUGGCAAAUUUGACAAAAUGCAUACCAAAUUUAGAGAUUAUUAUUUAUGUAGUUUAUCACACAUAUUCCCACUUCAGUGAUCAUUUACAUUAAAUACCUAUAUUUUGCUUUAGUACCAGCAACAAAAUCCCAAUACAUUACAUGCAAGAAUUCGAUUUAUGUUUAUCAUUGCAUAGUGUGCAGAACCAACAGUUAAUUAAUCUCAAUAGUAGCUGGCUGUUCAGAUGCCAAUAUUCGUACUUUCUAUAAAUGUAUCUAGCUAACUAUAUAGGUUGAAUUUAUGUUUAUUUAUUGUAAUGACUAUGAAUAUUUACUUAGUAAACGUACGAUUAAUGAACAGUGGAGCAAUUGGAAUCAAUUUUAAACAGGGUAUGUCAAGCCAGCUGUCUGGAGUCCUCAUUUUCAAAACAAAUAAAAUCAUGGCGGCCCGCUUAAAAUCGAGUUUUCUACAGUUGAUUCGGUUACGAAAUACAGCACAUUUUAGGUUUGAGUUUAAACAUUUUCUAUGAAAUUAAGAGUUCUACUUGGGUAUACCAACUUAAUGAAAGUCUUGCUGUGAUUUCAGUUCAGUAGCUAAACCCUAACUGCCACAUCGUCUAUGUCAAACCAGGUCCUAGCCUAAUCCCAUCCUCAUGUUGCGCAGCUGAAAUUUCCCUAAAUGUAUUAAUGAUAAAGUUCAGCCAACAACCACGAUGGGCCAAGAAGUAUAACAAGAACUCUGUUUGCCUGGGUCUUCUUCGGUUAUGUAGCUAACGUUAAACCCGUCAUCAGCAACUUGAUUGAGUGACGUAGCUAACGACGUUUAGCUAGGUAACUAAAAAUCAUUCCGUUUUGUUCUGCAGUCUGGUCAUUGAGGCAUUCCCUAGCUUAGUCAGUGUCACUGCACAACCAUAGGUAGCUAACGUUAGCUGCUUUGUUGUUUCUUUGCUUUUUGACAGUCUCAAGUUAAUGUUUCAAGACCAUCGGACAUUCAUCCAACAGAUUGGGUUUGUAAGGAUAAACUCACUCUGUUGAAUGAAUGUCCGACCAUCUAAAUACAUGACCUGACAUAACUGUCUGUUAAAGGCUUACAAUUAAAACGAGAAACCAGUUCCACACACAAUACACAUUGGCCAGAACUUCCGAAAACGUCUGCCUCUGACAGUACCCACACAGUUCGCAGAAACCUGUUUGAAAUGGAAGGAGUGAAAAGUGUGUUCUAUGGCCCUGACUUCAUCACAGUGACCAAGACCCACAGUGAUGGAGGAUGGCGGUGAUAUAAUCUUUAAGGGCUUUGAGAAUGGCACGGUAAAGCUGAAGCCGGUUGGCUCGUGCACCGACUGCCCCAGCUCCACUGUCACCCUGAAGAAUGGCAUCCAGAACAUGCUGCAAUUCUAUAUCCCGGAGGUGGAUCCCGGAGGUGGAUGACGUGGAACAGGUGGAAGAUGAAAUGGAUCAUGUCAACGCAAACGUUUUCACCGAGUUGGAACGCAAGUUUGGAGACAUAAAACUGUCGGCCCCCAUGCCUAUAGAUAAACAGCCUGUUGUAUCGAUGUCAUGCAAACCAGGUAGACAAGGCUUACCAUAG